RNAcentral lists this long non-coding RNA (1116 nucleotides) under Zea mays. RNAcentral's name for it is "long non-coding RNA (ZMAY_LNC002275)". Lineage: Eukaryota; Viridiplantae; Streptophyta; Magnoliopsida; Poales; Poaceae. The record is from RNAcentral.
GCUCAUGCUAGGCUUAAUCGAGACUCUUUGACUUGGUGCACGCAAUUAGACACAGGAGUCUCCUCGACUUGUGCAUGGGCGUGCAUGCAAUUAGACACGACCUUGUCAUAUGUAGCUGUGUUUCAGUGUCCAUGCAUGCUCCAUUCCUAGCAUUUUCUUGAAAGGCCAAUAUAGCUUGGCAGUUUCUCUGGAAAGAAUCAGCAUCAAACAAUGUUCUUGACCAGAUGUUUUGAUAUUGCUUACGCCGCACAAUAUAAUACGGAUCGAUAGUAUGACCAGCAUUCUGAAAGAGCAUCCAGCAGGGUUCGAGCCUGAGUGGGUGCGUGGCCACAGCCUCCUUGACAGUAAACCUCUCUGGACUCUCAGCUUUGCUAUUUCAGUCACAUGAACUUUCUUAUCUUUCAGCUUCAGCAGAUUGAUCUCUAAACCUGGAAACUUCUGCAAGAACAUAUACCUCAUGAUUGGUUGCGUUGACCAGCCCUCAACUUCUGAUUGGAUAUCUGCAGGCUUUGUUGCAUGUAUGGAGAUUGGAGAAGCAGGGAAGCCGCGUUUGCGGCAGGUCAGGCCGAGCCAUGCGCCGGUUGCUGAGGCAACCAAUCAUCGCUAAAUUGCACAUGAUACAACUGCAGCUUUAGCUGGUUUACCUGCAUCAUGUCUGGGUUCAUCAGCGUCCAGUUUUAAUUAACUUGUGGUCUUUUGCCAUGUGCGGUAAUGAAAAACGAAAGGGCCUAAAGUAGAGUAGAUUAACAUUUCGGUGUCGCCUCAAUUUGCAGAAAGAAGCUUCAGGCAGAGAGUCUCUCACUGCUCCUCGUGUCUACUGAUUGUCAUGUUGCUCGCCAGCUCCUAUGCUCUCCUCCAAAGUCCAAACCCGGGCCCAAAGGUGUUCAACAAAGAGAAGUAACAUUUACGAGCUCACACAAGUCACAUGAGAUGAGAUUCAAGAGAAAGAGAUAUAUGUUACGUGGCAUUCCUUAAGUUUAGGGACUUAGAGAUGCAUUUUCAAUGUUCGUGGAUAUAAGUGACAUCUCUUGACAAGUUCAGUUUCAUUCAUGUAUUGAAUUGAUAUUAAAAUUAGAUGACCUAAUCUCAUGCCACCAUAGGGGCGGGCCCACUAUG